RNAcentral lists this ribosomal RNA (480 nucleotides) under uncultured bacterium. RNAcentral describes it as "bacterial SSU rRNA". It matches the Rfam family "Bacterial small subunit ribosomal RNA", at positions 21 to 518 of the family's 1533-position model. The record is from RNAcentral.
GGCUCAGGACGAACGCUGGCGGCACGCUAACACAUGCAAGUCGAACGAGCGAAGAGAGCUUGCUCUCCUAGCUAGUGGCGACGGGUGAGUAACACGUGAGCAAUCUGCCUUUCGGUGUGGGAUACCAUUUGGAAACGAAUGUUAAUACCGCAGUAACAUAACGGGAUCGCAUGAUCCUGUUAUCAAAGAUUUAUUGCCGGAAGAUGAGCUCGCGUCUGAUUAGCUAGUUGGUGAGGUAACGGCCCACCAAGGCGACGAUCAGUAGCCGGACUGAGAGGUUGAACGGCCACAUUGGGACUGAGACACGGCCCAGACUCCUACGGGAGGCAGCAGUGGGGAAUAUUGCACAAUGGGCGCAAGCCUGAAUGCAGCGAUGCCGCGUGAGGGAAGAAGGUUUUAGGAUUGUAAACCUCUGUCUUUGGGGACGAUAAUGACGGUACCCAAGGAGGAAGCUCCGGCUAACUACGUGCCAGCAGCAGC